UCGUAACAAGGUUUCCGUAGGUGAACCUGCGGAAGGAUCAUUACCGAGUGAGGGCUGCCUCCGGGCGCCCAACCUCCCACCCGUGACUACAUAACCCUGUUGCUUCGGCGGGAAGCCCCCCUGGGGGCCACCGCCGGGGACCACUGAACAUCUUGUCUGAGCAUGUUGCAGUCUGAGCUUGAAUAGCAAAUCAGUCAAAACUUUUAACAAUGGAUCUCUUGGUUCCGGCAUCGAUGAAGAACGCAGCGAACUGCGAUAAUUAAUGUGAAUUGCAGAAUUCAGUGAAUCAUCGAGUCUUUGAACGCACAUUGCGCCCCCUGGUAUUCCGGGGGGCAUGCCUGUCCGAGCGUCAUUGCUGCCCUCAAGCCCGGCUUGUGUGUUGGGUCCUCGUCCCCCCCGGGGGACGGGCCCGAAAGGCAGCGGCGGCACCGUGUCCGGUCCUCGAGCGUAUGGGGCUUUGUCACCCGCUCGAUUAGGGCCGGCCGGGCGCUUGCCGGCGUCUCCAACCAUUAUUUCUUCAGGUUGACCUCGGAUCAGGUAGGGAUACCCGCUGAACUUAAGCAUAUCAUAAAAGCGGAGGA
Molecule: unclassified non-coding RNA, 581 nt
Filed under: Aspergillus cavernicola
Lineage: Eukaryota; Fungi; Ascomycota; Eurotiomycetes; Eurotiales; Aspergillaceae
Description: sequence contains 18S rRNA gene, ITS1, 5.8S rRNA gene, ITS2, 28S rRNA gene
Rfam family: 5.8S ribosomal RNA (bases 199-352)
Source: RNAcentral